AGUGAUUUGUAUGCCGGGGCGAAAGGACAACGCCGGAUUGGAGGCAGAAAAACAGCCGCUCGCCGUUCCUGCUCACUCAGACGCUGGUGAAAGACGAGCAACAAGAAGGCAGGCAGAGAGCAAGAGAGAGAGAGAGGGGGAUGGAGGGAUGAGAUGAGAGAUAAGAAGAGAGACCUGCUUGGUAUUCACCUGUCUCUCCGGAUCAAUAAAGAAUGACCUCAGUCUCCUGGCUCAGCCAAUCAGAUCGACCGGAUGACCUCAAUAUCCUGGUCCACCCGAUCAGAACAUCUAAAUGUGUUGUGGUGUGAUGAGGUCUGCUGCAGAGGUGUCGCUCUGCGCCCUGGUUCAAUGAUUUUCCCAGGUCCUGUGCUGUUUUUGCCCCGGGCUGACUCAAUAGCAGGCCUUAAAUCCUCCAUCUGGAAGCAUGGACCUGCUCACUAGUCUCAGUCAUCUGCUCCUGCUUUUUAAUUGGUUGUCCAC
This is a long non-coding RNA of Cheilinus undulatus (humphead wrasse), 480 nucleotides long. RefSeq lists it as uncharacterized. Lineage: Eukaryota; Metazoa; Chordata; Actinopteri; Labriformes; Labridae. The transcript has 4 exons. The record is from RefSeq and is a predicted model, not a curated record.